This 371-nucleotide ribosomal RNA is filed under the name uncultured organism. RNAcentral's name for it is "bacterial SSU rRNA". It matches the Rfam family "Bacterial small subunit ribosomal RNA", at positions 526 to 897 of the family's 1533-position model. The record is from RNAcentral.
CGUAGGGUGCGAGCGUUAACCGGAAUUACUGGGCGUAAAGCGUGCGCAGGCGGUUUGUUAAGAUAGGCGUGAAAUCCCCGGGCUCAACCUGGGAACUGCGCUUAUGACUGGCAAGCUAGAGUACGGCAGAGGGGGUGGAAUUCCACGUGUAGCAGUGAAAUGCGUAGAGAUGUGGAGGAACACCAAUGGCGAAGGCAGCCCCCUGGGUCGAUACUGACGCUCAUGCACGAAAGCGUGGGUAGCAAACAGGAUUAGAUACCCUGGUAGUCCACGCCCUAAACGAUGUCAACUAGGUGUUGGGAGGGUAAAACCUUUUAGUACCGGAGCUAACGCGUGAAGUUGACGCCUGGGGAGUACGGCCGCAAGGUUAA